RNAcentral lists this ribosomal RNA (261 nucleotides) under uncultured bacterium. RNAcentral's name for it is "partial 16S ribosomal RNA". It matches the Rfam family "Bacterial small subunit ribosomal RNA", at positions 1231 to 1500 of the family's 1533-position model. The record is from RNAcentral.
UGGCAGGUACANCGGGAAGCCAUAUGGCGACAUAGAGCGGAACCCGAAAACCUGUCUCAGUUCGGAUUGGAGUCUGCAACCCGACUCCAUGAAGCUGGAUUCGCUAGUAAUCGCGCAUCAGCCACGGCGCGGUGAAUACGUUCCCGGGCCUUGUACACACCGCCCGUCAAGCCAUGGGAGCCGGGGGUACCUGAAGUGCGUGACCGCAAGGAGCGCCCUAAGGUAAAACCGGUGACUGGGGCUAAGUCGUAACAAGGUAGC